AGUGAACGCUGGCGGUAGGCCUAAUACAUGCAAGUCGAACGGCAGCACAGUAAGAGCUUGCUCUUACGGGUGGCGAGUGGCGGACGGGUGAGGAAUACAUCGGAAUCUACUUUUUCGUGGGGGAUAACGUAGGGAAACUUACGCUAAUACCGCAUACGACCUACGGGUGAAAGCAGGGGAUCUUCGGACCUUGCGCGAUUGAAUGAGCCGAUGUCGGAUUAGCUAGUUGGCGGGGUAAAGGCCCACCAAGGCGACGAUCCGUAGCUGGUCUGAGAGGAUGAUCAGCCACACUGGAACGGAGCCACGGUCCAGACUCCUACGGGAGGCAGCAGUGGGGAAUAUUGGACAAUGGGCGCAAGCCUGAUCCAGCCAUACCGCGUGGGUGAAGAAGGCCUUCGGGUUGUAAAGCCCUUUUGUUGGGAAAGAAAAGCAGCAGGUUAAUACCCCGCUGUUCUGACGGUACCCAAAGAAUAAGCACCGGCUAACUUCGUG
RNAcentral lists this ribosomal RNA (492 nucleotides) under uncultured bacterium. RNAcentral's name for it is "partial 16S ribosomal RNA". It matches the Rfam family "Bacterial small subunit ribosomal RNA", at positions 29 to 507 of the family's 1533-position model. The record is from RNAcentral.